Molecule: ribosomal RNA, 249 nt
Filed under: Triticum aestivum (bread wheat)
Lineage: Eukaryota; Viridiplantae; Streptophyta; Magnoliopsida; Poales; Poaceae
Description: partial small subunit ribosomal RNA
Source: RNAcentral
AUGCUACUUCAUGAGGUGCACUUGGAUGAGCUCACUGAGGAUGACAUCUUAUGGAAGCACACGGAAUCUGGGCACUACUCCGUGGCCUCCGCUUACAGGGCACAAUUUUUGGGCUUGGUCCUCUCCCCCAUGGACCAAAUGGUUUGGAAGGCUUGGGCCCCACCGAAAGUCAAGUUCUUUGCUUGGCUCGCGCGUCAGGAUAGGAUCUGGACCACUGGUAGAAAAAGAACCUAUAGUCCCGGUUCGUAA